Molecule: unclassified non-coding RNA, 247 nt
Filed under: Paraglomerales sp.
Lineage: Eukaryota; Fungi; Glomeromycota; Glomeromycetes; Paraglomerales
Description: partial contains 5.8S ribosomal RNA and internal transcribed spacer 2
Source: RNAcentral
GUGAAUCAUCAAAUUUUUGAACGCAAAUUGCGCUUUCUUUUGGGAGGCAUGUCUGUUUGAGGUCACCAUUUAACAAAUAAUGUGCUGGUAGCUAUGCGGCGUGCACACGUUGAUGAGCUUUUCCGAUAAACCCGGUUUUUUUGGUGGCGCAUAAUGUACAGCGUGGGCUUUUUCUUUCUUUUCUCGGGUAGUAAGUAAAUUUUCGACGCUUGGGUUGAGAGAAAGAGCGAGCCGCGCAAUGUGUGUG